AUGCUAGCAGAAAUGAAUCUUCUACAUCAUUACCACAGACCGAUUGCACAAUCUAAUUGUCGUCCUGUGGUGAUUCUGGCGAUAGUUCUUCGGCUCUCCCCCACGAGAACCGGAGCAGGAAUUGCAAGAAGAAUAUAUACCCGAUUCCCUCCGUCCCGAGCUCAAAUCUUGUUUUCCCCCAUCUGCUUGAUCGCCUCGCCUCCCUCGUUUCUUCGUCUCGCGCGACUCGGCCAGGGGGAUCCGGCGCGGAGAGGAAUGACAUCGCCGAUGUCCGGAGACGCACGCACGCCGCCCCGUGGGGCGGCGCCUUACGCUCUGUACCAGUUCGGCACCAGCGGCGCCGCCGUCGCCGUCGCCACCGCCGUCACGCAUCCGCUCGACGUUAUCAAAAUUAGACUCCAAAUGCAGCUUGCUGGGCAAAGAGGAAACUUAGUUGGAAUGGGGGCAAUAUUUACACAAAUGGUAGAAAGGGAAGGGCCUCGAUCACUCUAUCUGGGAUUUGCACCAGCAUUGACUAGAUCCCUCAUCUAUGGUGGCCUUCGAUUAGGAUUGUAUGAGCCCUGCAAACAUGUCUGCAGCUACGCAUUUGGUUCAACAAACUUUGCUUUUAAAUUUGCAUCCGGAGUAGUUGCUGGUGCCCUAGCAACUGCAUUGACAAACCCGAUGGAGGUUUUAAAGGUGAGAUCACAGAUGAGUACAAGCAGAAUUAGUACAAUUGGAGUGACGAGGGAAAUUGUAUCAGAGGAAGGAGUCAAAGCGCUUUGGAAAGGAGUUGGCCCAGCUAUGGUGAGAGCAGGCUGCCUCACGGCAUCACAAAUGGCAACUUAUGAUGAGGCCAAACAGGUCUUGCUGAUGUGGACACCACUUGAAGAAGGUCGAGCUGCAUCGCUGGAACAGCUGGUACACUUGUGA
Molecule: ribosomal RNA, 912 nt
Filed under: Triticum aestivum (bread wheat)
Lineage: Eukaryota; Viridiplantae; Streptophyta; Magnoliopsida; Poales; Poaceae
Description: partial small subunit ribosomal RNA
Source: RNAcentral